This 1031-nucleotide ribosomal RNA is filed under the name Enterococcus faecium. RNAcentral's name for it is "bacterial SSU rRNA". It matches the Rfam family "Bacterial small subunit ribosomal RNA", at positions 32 to 1034 of the family's 1533-position model. The record is from RNAcentral. Lineage: Bacteria; Bacillati; Bacillota; Bacilli; Lactobacillales; Enterococcaceae.
AAGGAGGGGCCGGGUGCUAAUAAUGCAAGUCGAACGCUUCUUUUUCCACCGGAGCUUGCUCCACCGGAAAAAGAGGAGAGGCGAACGGGUGAGUAACACGUGGGUAACCUGCCCAUCAGAAGGGGAUAACACUUGGAAACAGGUGCUAAUACCGUAUAACAAUCAAAACCGCAUGGUUUUGAUUUGAAAGGCGCUUUCGGGUGUCGCUGAUGGAUGGACCCGCGGUGCAUUAGCUAGUUGGUGAGGUAACGGCUCACCAAGGCCACGAUGCAUAGCCGACCUGAGAGGGUGAUCGGCCACAUUGGGACUGAGACACGGCCCAAACUCCUACGGGAGGCAGCAGUAGGGAAUCUUCGGCAAUGGACGAAAGUCUGACCGAGCAACGCCGCGUGAGUGAAGAAGGUUUUCGGAUCGUAAAACUCUGUUGUUAGAGAAGAACAAGGAUGAGAGUAACUGUUCAUCCCUUGACGGUAUCUAACCAGAAAGCCACGGCUAACUACGUGCCAGCAGCCGCGGUAAUACGUAGGUGGCAAGCGUUGUCCGGAUUUAUUGGGCGUAAAGCGAGCGCAGGCGGUUUCUUAAGUCUGAUGUGAAAGCCCCCGGCUCAACCGGGGAGGGUCAUUGGAAACUGGGAGACUUGAGUGCAGAAGAGGAGAGUGGAAUUCCAUGUGUAGCGGUGAAAUGCGUAGAUAUAUGGAGGAACACCAGUGGCGAAGGCGGCUCUCUGGUCUGUAACUGACGCUGAGGCUCGAAAGCGUGGGGAGCAAACAGGAUUAGAUACCCUGGUAGUCCACGCCGUAUACGAUGAGUGCUAAGUGUUGGAGGGUUUCCGCCCUUCAGUGCUGCAGCUAACGCAUUAAGCACUCCGCCUGGGGAGUACGACCGCAAGGUUGAAACUCAAAGGAAUUGACGGGGGCCCGCACAAGCGGUGGAGCAUGUGGUUUAAUUCGAAGCAACGCGAAGAACCUUACCAGGUCUUGACAUCCUUUGACCACUCUAGAGAUAGAGCUUCCCCUUCGGGGGCAAAGCGA